GUGAAUCAUCGAAUUUUUGAACGCAAAUUGCACUCCCCGGUUUUCCGGGAGAGUAUGCCUGUUCGAGGGUCAGCCUAAAAAAAAUCGACAUUGUCGCUGUUUUAUGGUGACGUUCGUCGGAGAUGGGUUAUCUUAAAUCUCUGUUUAAGCGACUUAAAAUUUUUUUUUACGCAUCUAAGCAUUUUGCUAAGAUUUUUCUUGUACGUUUAAGGUAUCGAAUGUCUUAUUAGACGUGACCAUCAUAUCGGAUCGU
This 253-nucleotide unclassified non-coding RNA is filed under the name Glomeraceae sp. Its description in RNAcentral is "partial contains 5.8S ribosomal RNA and internal transcribed spacer 2". The stretch from base 1 to 72 matches the Rfam family "5.8S ribosomal RNA", at positions 84 to 154 of the family's 154-position model. The record is from RNAcentral. Lineage: Eukaryota; Fungi; Glomeromycota; Glomeromycetes; Glomerales; Glomeraceae.